This 763-nucleotide ribosomal RNA is filed under the name uncultured Streptococcus sp. RNAcentral describes it as "bacterial SSU rRNA". It matches the Rfam family "Bacterial small subunit ribosomal RNA", at positions 28 to 776 of the family's 1533-position model. The record is from RNAcentral. Lineage: Bacteria; Bacillati; Bacillota; Bacilli; Lactobacillales; Streptococcaceae.
GACGAACGCGGCGGCGUGCCUAAUACAUGCAAGUAGAACGCUGAAGGAGGAGCUUGCUUCUCUGGAUGAGUUGCGAACGGGUGAGUAACGCGUAGGUAACCUGCCUGGUAGCGGGGGAUAACUAUUGGAAACGAUAGCUAAUACCGCAUAAGAGUAGAUGUUGCAUGACAUUUGCUUAAAAGGUGCAAUUGCAUCACUACCAGAUGGACCUGCGUUGUAUUAGCUAGUUGGUGGGGUAACGGCUCACCAAGGCGACGAUACAUAGCCGACCUGAGAGGGUGAUCGGCCACACUGGGACUGAGACACGGCCCAGACUCCUACGGGAGGCAGCAGUAGGGAAUCUUCGGCAAUGGACGGAAGUCUGACCGAGCAACGCCGCGUGAGUGAAGAAGGUUUUCGGAUCGUAAAGCUCUGUUGUAAGAGAAGAGCGAGUGUGAGAGUGGAAAGUUCACACUGUGACGGUAUCUUACCAGAAAGGGACGGCUAACUACGUGCCAGCAGCCGCGGUAAUACGUAGGUGGCAAGCGUUAUCCGGAUUUAUUGGGCGUAAAGAGAGUGCAGGCGGUUUUCUAAGUCUGAUGUGAAAGCCUUCGGCUUAACCGGAGAAGUGCAUCGGAAACUGGAUAACUUGAGUGCAGAAGAGGGUAGUGGAACUCCAUGUGUAGCGGUGGAAUGCGUAGAUAUAUGGAAGAACACCAGUGGCGAAGGCGGCUACCUGGUCUGCAACUGACGCUGAGACUCGAAAGCAUGGGUAGCGAACAGG